AGCGGCGCGAGCUAGGGUUGUUACGAGACUCAGGUUAACUCCAGCAAGAAUUCCGGUAAGCCUCGAUUAGUUGAUUCAGUUGCAUGUUCCUUUUUAAGUUAGAUCGGCAUAUGUUGUUUCGGUUGAAGCUAUUUUCGAAGUUACAGAAGUCUGGUGAGGCUCCGGCGAGUUCUCCUGUGGUGACUGAUGAAACUUAGUCUAUAUCUAAAGCGGCCUUUGGCUUGCUGGUUAGUGGCCCUUCAGGGCAAAUAACUUGGAUUCGAGGCGGCCCAACAAGUUUGGAUAUUAGGAAUAUAAAAGAGGCUAUUGACGAACGGAAGCGGUGGUGGUGACAACCGACGGCGGAGAUGACCUCCGGUCGCCGGACAAGUGAUGAUUGACGAUGAUAGUUGCUUGGGUGCUGGUCUACCAAGUUUGGAUGCAACUGGAGGUUUGGUGAGGUAAUUCGGUUCAAUAUGCGUAUGUUUGGAACAACUACUGUAAACGGCAGGUUGAAAGGUGGGCAAAACAAUACAUUGCUUCUACUGGUGAAGGAAAAUCCGAAAGGAACCCUAAAAUGUUAACAUUGAUUGAUUGGAUACGUAAAAAUAUUUCGUCUGAAGAUUCUUCAGGAAGCACGGCAGGUCUUCUCCACCGUGAUUUUCGGAUGGAUAAUUUGGUUUUUCAUCCUAUUGAGGUUUGUAUUUUAAUAUUAUUUUGCACUCAAGUUCAUUUAUAUGUUCGUUAAUAUUUGAAUAACAUGUAGAAAUUUUUAAUCACAGGAUAGAUUAAUUGGUAUUCUUGAUUGGGAGUUAUCGACUCUCGAAAAUCAGAUGUGUGAUAUUACAUACAGUUCAAUGCUAAACUACCUUUUGUUUAUGAUACUAAACUCACAUUUGUAAAGUCGAAAUAAGCCCUUUUAUUUUGUUUUCUUUCUGCCAGUUGUAUAUUUGUGUAUUGCAGAUUUUUCACAGGGUAAAGUGAAACAUAACAAUGGUUUUGAACUCGACAUUUCUGAAGGAGUUCCUUCUUUAGAAGAAUAUCUUGCAGACUACUGCUCUGCUGCCAUAAGGGAAGACAAUGGCCUGUUGCCGGU
Molecule: long non-coding RNA, 1075 nt
Filed under: Helianthus annuus (common sunflower)
Lineage: Eukaryota; Viridiplantae; Streptophyta; Magnoliopsida; Asterales; Asteraceae
Source: RNAcentral